Molecule: unclassified non-coding RNA, 8855 nt
Filed under: Anthonomus grandis grandis
Lineage: Eukaryota; Metazoa; Arthropoda; Insecta; Coleoptera; Curculionidae
Description: e3 ubiquitin-protein ligase lubel
Source: RNAcentral
AUAUUAGACACAGUCCGAUCCAGACGUCGGAUAGAGGAACGUCUCUUGACCGCGACACCUCUAUUAUAAUAAUAGUGUUCCUGUCUAUUUUGGUAAUGUCUUUUCGUUAGUUUAUUGAGUGUUUUUUAUAGCCCCGCUUAGAGCGAUAUGAGUAACAAAAACGAAAAGUGGAAACCUAUGGUCAUACAUAACCCUUCUACCAGGAUGCGGAUGGCCAGGAAUAUGCCGCAAUGGGUGAAUAAAAGCGGUUCCAGUGGCAUCCCACCACCUCCCAUUCCUCGAGAUUCCGGAAGAAAAACUGACGAACCCGACUAUGAAGUAAUUGAAUUCGGCCAAUAUUUAAACACUCCUCCUACGAAAGCUCUAGGUGAAAUUUACAUAUCUAUUAAAAAAAACUAUAUAAAACUAGCUCUUGUUGUAGAACGACCGCAAAAACAUUGUCAACUAUGCGGCUCUACGUCCCCGAACGUGAACGUGCAUUGUGAACAUUGCAAACAAAACUUUUGCCUUUCUUGUGACGAUAUGUACCAUAGGCAUCCAAAAAGACAGCAUCACAUAAGAAGAAGGGUAGAAGAACGUGGGUUCCAACCUAUAAGACCCCCUUUACCCCCUAAAGGAGAAUUUCCUCAGGCGCCCCCUCAACCUCCCCCUAGAAGAAGACGUUCUGGAUCAAUAGGACCCUCCCCUUGCCCCUCACCCACCCCGAUGAAGAAUAACCAGGGUUCGCAUCAAUUUUCUAUGCCAAGAAAGGACAGCGGGUUUAGUCUUAAAGAAAAAAUGAACAGCCUUAGAAGAGGACUGACUUUGGGCAACAGACCACUGCCGCCUACGCCAAACAGUCCUUCCAGUGGCGGUCCAAGCUAUCCAACGUCCAGGUCGAAUUCCCAAGUGUCCCAGGACGAUUUUCGACAAUUCCAGGCACCUAGUCCCAGCCCGUCCCUUCAAGAACGUUAUAGGAGACAUCAGCUAGCUAUGAGAGGCACGACACCCAAUUUGCCAAGUCAUGUGGCGGCAGAGUUUGAUAAAUCGCCAAGUGGGGAUUCGGGAUAUCCAGAUUGGGAUCAAUGGGCUAUUCGGGACAGGGCAGGAAGUGUUUCUGGAUCAGAGGCGGCCACCAAAGUAUCAAGAAAACUCUCCAACACCUCUUGCCCGCCACCGACCAGAAGCAAUAUACCACAUAGCACCUCAGUGUUUGAUUUGAACAAUACCAUGGCCCAUCAUCACCACGGAGGAUUUACGCCCAUGCAACAGGCCCAAUCAAUGGCCCAACUUGGUUAUCCAAUGCCUUGUUGUCCCAAUGUCUGGAUGGAACAGCAACCGUGCUGCUUCGACCACGCCCCUCACGGAAGCAAUAUGAGUCUUAACGUGCCUCACGGUUAUCCAGUCAAUCCUAUGUGGAUGGGCACUUGGCAUGGUCCAUCACCUGGAAUGUAUCCCUGUGGAAUACCGCCGCAAGCAAGGCCUUGUUCACAUUCACGUCCAGCCUCACCGACCCAUAGCGUUAAGUCACGUAAAUCCACUCUAAGCAAGAAAUCCCGAAGGAAGUACCAGGACGAUUCCUCAGAUGAAGAUUUAAACGAUCUGGACGAUAGAAGAUCAAUGUUUAGCCACACGGAUAACCGUAGUGAGAGAAGAUCCCUGGGAAGAUACGGGCUAAGAGAGAGAUCACGAGAUACAUCUUCAAUGCCCAGGGAAAAUGCGAGACGAAGAAACAGUGAUAGAGCAGAAAGGGCCUCGGUUGGUAAAAGCAGAGUCAGCGUGGUAGACUCUUCGUCAAGUAAUAAAACGGACGACGAAGAAAGCGACGAUAAUAAAGCCAUUGACAAGAAAACCGAUGAUACUCCUGUUAAUGAAGAAACACCAUUUAAUUCGGAAGAACCGGUAGAUAUACCGGAAACAUCAUGGAGCUGCGAGCAUUGCACUUUCGUCAACGAGCCGGGCACGAGGGUGUGUUCCAUCUGCUGCAAAACACCCAUUUCCCAAGUAAAACUUGUGAAACCACCACAGCAAGCGACAAAAGUGGUCCAGCAAGGCAAAAAUUCAAACUUAAAGCCUCCGAUUGGUCGUAACAAUAACGUGCCCACCGGAAACAAGGCUAAAAUCAAGGAGAAUAAAGUGUUGCAAAGUUUAAGCUCAGACGAUUACAGCGCCAAGUCGCUUAGUGAAACAGAAUCGAUGCAAAAUAAACUGCAAAAGCUCAACUUGGACCUACAAGGAGAAUCGAAAUCCAAAGAACAUGGUGCUGAAAAUAAGACUGAUAAACAUAGUGAUCAUCAUCAGCGGUUAGAUGAUCAAAACGAAUCUGCCGGUUUAAAAGUAUCAACUGCAUGUGGCACGUCACCUCCAAAAGAAAUAGUUGAUGCCAACAAUAAUAAAAAAGUAGCGUCUACGAGUACUGCGACCUCUCCACCGCCUCAAAAUAUCUCCACACAGACUUACGAAGAAUCCCCGCGUAAAAGUCAAAGAAGUUCUCCACCGAAAAGUAUUGCGGAUCACAGUAGGUCAAGCAGAUACAGAGACCUAAAAAGGUCACAGUCCGUCCACACGCCAUCCUCGAAAAGGGGUUCGGAAUGGUCGUUGCAUAGGUCUUCCAGUAGACAUAGCUUCACUACAGAUUCGCAAAGUUUGCCUGGUAGUAGAGAACCCAGUCCCAUGCCCUUCGACUACGAAGAACCAUACUUCGAAAAGCCAUCAGUGAGGCAAAAGAAGUUGCACGGAGGAAACGGCAGGAACUCUCACAGCAUUAUGGACCUCAGAAGACCAGAGCUGUAUCAAAGGAGACCCAGCCAUCAGGAUUUAGGAUCUUACAGGAUGGACUAUGCUGUCCAGGAGCCUCUAAAUCACCGUCACCGUUCCGAGUCUCUGCGUCCCGAAUAUUUUGAAAACGUUUUUGAAAAAAGGGAUAAUUAUAAGAACCAAGGCAUGGAAUUAGUUAAAUUACUUAGAGAAGCAGAGCUACAUAAGUUUACUGCUGAUGAGGUACAGGCAGCUCUCUUGCAUUGUAAGGAUCAAAAUCCUAUUGACUGGCUUAAAGAACACUGGGAAGCGAUAGUUGCUAGUGUACAAACCUUGGCCACCCAAAUGGGUAGAGAGGGACCAAUGAAUAUAGUUGGAACUGUAUCGGAAAAAGAGGCCAGAGACUCCCUGAGGCGUAAUAAGGGAGACCUCUGGCCAGCUGUUCAACAAUGCGUUGAACAGCGACAGAGAAAGUAUGCAGAGCUAGCCAGUCGUGGUGACUUCUCCAGGGAAGACAUAGUGACCGUUCUAACAACAAAUCAUGGUGAUUUAGAGGCGGCCUAUAGUGAACUCAGUAAAACGCAAAUAAAACCGUUUUUAAUGCGAAUUUGGGGUCCACCGAACGGUAUCGAGAACGAGGCAGGUAACGAGGGGGCCACCCUGCAAAAAUUUAGGGGGGAAGAAGUGCUUGAUGAAAAACAAAAGCAAUUAAAAAAACAAGCUGAAGCGGUAAGUCUCGAUCAAAAUCAGUUUAAACCUUCUUCUCCUAAUGCCGUAAGUACUAGCCCCCCGGAUUUAAAAAAAACCCAAUUUUUUAACGAGUCUCCCCUAGAAGAUUCGAUAGAAUUAGUUAGUGAAAAAGAUAAACCAUUACCGUCGCUAGAUACUAUAGAAACCGAGAUUUUAAAGAGCAUACAGGAAAUUAAUAAUUUAAGCAACGAACGCAGAAUGCAAAGGCAGGAAAGGGAACAAACACAUUCAAAAUCUGAGCCGGUUCUAGAACAACCAUCAACUGAAAUAUCUCUACAAAAUGUCGAUUCGCAAUCUACACUCUUAGAAGCUGUAAAUAGGCAGGAUGAAUCUGCAACUGAAAAUCAUCCUCUCUCAAUAUUAAUGAAUGAAGAUUCUCUGAAGGUUCAAGACCUUUCCGAAGCAUUUCAACCUAAAUCUGACAAGCAAAUUAUAUCAGGAACUUCUGCAGAGCAUGGAGAACCUCACGUUCCUAAUCCUAUAUUCUCUACACCCACUAAAACUCCCCUUAAAACCAUAGAGAUUACUUAUACGCCUAUAUCCCCGGUACUCACAAACCUUGAGGUUCCCCAAAGUCCUAAAACGUAUGUAGAAAAAAGUAGCACAGUAAUAGAAGUAGUAGACUUAGCGGGAUUAGAACCAACCAGUGGAAAAAAGUCGGAAAGUCCCGAGUCUGAGAGCAGCAGUUCGAGUGAGGAAAAUGUAUUGGGAGAUGAACAGUUUGAAGAUGCACUUGAAGAUAUGGAAAAGAGUGAAGCUACAAGCGUUGAUAUGGUAGAACUUGCACCAUCGAUACCAGAACGAAAAAAGAGUAUUAGCACUUUAAACAUUCAGCUUUUCGAAACACCUUUGGCGUUUGUUUCUAAGGGUAAUGUAAGUAAUUUAACAGAGAAUGCGCCUAUUAAGUUCGAGCCGGAAUUUCAGGAAAGUACUGCGGAAAUUGUCCUGAAAAGUUCUGACGGUAGAUCUGCUCUAAAGGAUAAAGUUGGAAGGACAGACCAUGAGCUAGUCAAAAAUAAGGGAGUUAUUACGCCUAAGCAAAUGAAGGAAAUAGGAAGUAAUGGGGCAAAUUUCGAAAAUUCUUUGCAUAUAGAUAUAGAAAAAACUGUAAUUGUCGAUCAAAAUAUUAAAGUGCGUGAGGACAUUUUAGUAGAAGAAGAUGAGCCUACUGAAGCAAAACAUAAAGAAAUAAAUGCAAAAACUGAUCAAAAUGUUAAUGACAAUAACAUAAGUAAAGAAGCAGAUGCUAAAGCUAAAAUGCCACAAGAAGUAGAGGUAAUCGCCAGUAACUUUGAUAUGACUAAAAAUAAUGUUAGAGAAGAAAAUGGUACUCGAGAAGCAAAUCAGGUUUAUCAAAAAGUUGAUCCUGCAGCAAUAACAGAAGCUCAACAAGAUGAGGCUCAUAAUUCUCUAUCUAUAAUGGGCGAAUCAAGAAAAGAUAGGCCAGUCGCAAGUAACUUUGAUAUAAAUUCGAAUAUCAUAGAACAACGUCAAACUCAAAGGCCCAUUAAUGAAGAAGAGGUUUUUCAAGAAGUUAUUCAUGCACCAAUAACUGAAGUGAAAGGGGACUCUUCAGAAAAUGAGCUUCAUAACACUGAAUCUCAGAUAGAGGAAACAACAGAACAACCCAAGAACCCACAGGGAGAAGAGGUGAUCUCAAGUAAGUCUGAUAAAAAUAAAAAUAGUCUUAUAGAGCAAAGUCUCACUCAAGUUAAUGAAAAAGAAGUUUUUCCUCCAGAAAUAACUGAAAUAAAAGUAGAGUCUGAUAAAAUUAUGGAAGCUUCACAACAUGGACUUGAUAAUUCUGAAUCUCAGAUAAAGGAACUAAUAAAACAACCAAAGAUCCCAGAUGGAGAAGAAGUGAUCUCAGGUCCCUUUGAUAAAAAUGAAAAUAAUCUUAUAGAGCAAAGUCUCUCUUCAGUUAAUGAAAAAGAUGUUUUCCAAGAAGUUGUUCCUGCACCAAUAACUGAAGUAAAAGUAGACCCUGAUAAAAUAAUGGAAACUUUAGAACAUGGGCUUCAUAACUCUGAAUCUCAGAUGGAGGAACUAAUAAAAAAAUCCGAGAGUCCACAGGGAGAAGAAGUGAUCUCAGAUACCGUUGAUAUAAAUAAAAAUAAUCUUAUAGAGCAAAGUUUCACUUCAGUUAAUGAAAACGAACUUGUUCCUGCACCAAUAAGUGAAAUAGAAUUUGACUCUAAAACAGCAGCUUCAAACCCCAAGUCUGAUAACUCUGACCUUAAAAUAGACGAAUCAAUAAACUUGAGCUUACCUCCAAGUGGGGCCAAAACGAAAAAUCUCAGCAAAAAGCAAAAGAAAUCAAAGAAACAAGCCAGAAAGAGAGCAGAGAAAUUAGCAUUAAUGCUUAGAAAAGAGAGUUCUAGCAGUACGAAUGAAUCACAAAGCGACAACACUGAAUCUAAAGAGGAAGAGAAGCUGGUUAGCUCAGUAAGUGAAACUGUAGAAGAAAUCGUUAGUAACUUAGAAAACGCCUCUGAUCCAACCAAAGAAGGGCAUAAGAUAGAAAGAAAAAAACCACUUAAGAAAACGGACAGUAAAAAGUUUGAGAAGUACAAGCAUAUGACUUUGAAGCAAAAUAUUCCUUACUCGCCAAUAGAAGAAAAGCAAGAAUUUACGUUGGAGCCAAUUCAAUCUGAAGUGAAAGGUAAUGAAAUUACAUCAGAAAAUAAAUCCAUUGAAGAGUCAGUAAUUGAGGCAAUCCAAACUGAAGAAAUUCGGCCAGUGACCACGACAAAAAUCCAAAUAGCACAAAACCAUCAAUAUCCAGUAUCCAAAAGCCAACCAUCAAAAAUUCCUGUAAUUUCACGACAGAAUUCUAUAACCAAGGAGCCUAAAUCGCCACCUAAUACUACAGGGAGCAAAAUACCAGUGAGACAAAGUCCGCCAAGGAUUCAAAAGGCCCCAGAGAAAACUCCUGCUAAAGUUGUCAGCCUUAUGGUAGAAGAAUCGUGUGAAUCUGAAAACGAUGCUCAAAAUGUAGUUCAAAAAGUGAGCUCUUCUAACAAUACGUCUUUAAAACACUCAAAAAGUCUUAGUCCAAGACCAGUUGACCGACAAAAGCCAAGCACAUCCAGGUCGUUCGAACAAAGGCGCAGUUUAUCAAGAAAGUCUUCAAUUCAAUCAAAUCAAAGCGAAGAUAUCGGUAAGAAACUGAGCAAGAAGAUAUCCUCUCAAUCAUUUAAAAGUUCACUGGACUCAAACGCCAGUUCUAAAAAGAUGUCUUAUACCAAAAGUCUUGAUAAUGAUAGCGAAAGUUCGGUAUCUGAUAGUAACGUCGAGGAGCUACUAUCUGACGACGAGUUCGAACAUUUCGAAGUCGAUUAUAUAGAGGAAAGCGAGUUGGAGGAAAGCGACUCGGAGGAUUACGAAAAAUUUGAUCAAAUCGCUGAAAAACUGAGCAAAAAUUUAAAUCAAAUGAGCGAAAAGAUGGGCCAGUUAACAUCAAAAUUAGACGGAAGUAAUAGUUAUUCUAUUGAAGAAACUUGUGAGUCUGAACAGUAUAGUUCUGAUGAUGAAGAGGAAGUUGACGAAACGGAGAGUAGCCAAAAUGAGGACCAACUUAUCGAAGAUGUUUUACUAGAUACAAAAGAAAAAAUUCUUAGUGAAACCGAACACAUGCAGAGGCAAGCGAGAAGGUUUUUAGCGGAAGGAAGGGUGCAGAACUACGAGCAAGCAGAGCUGGCAGCAAGUUUGCUUGCUUUGCAGUUCUCUCCCGAGGAAGCUCUCGAAGCUGUUAAGGACUGUAGCCACUUGGAUGCCGCCAUAGCUUAUUUGCAACAGGACUGCGAGCUGUGCGCUGGAAAGUAUCCAAUGAAAAAGAUUAUAUCAAUGCUAAAAUGUACCCACAGAUGUUGCCAGGAAUGUGCCAAAAACUACUUUACAGUGCAAAUAACAGACCGGAGUAUCAUGGAUUGUAACUGUCCCUUCUGCAAAGCUCCCGAGUUAAGUCACAACACUUCUACAGAAGAUGAGAUUUCCGACUAUUUUAGCAACUUGGAUAUUCUACUCAAAGGCAUUUUAGAUCCACCGGUUCAUGAGCUAUUUCAGCAAAAGCUGAGAGAUCGAACUCUGAUGCAGGAUCCUAAUUUUAAGUGGUGUGUACAGUGUUCGUCUGGUUUUAUAGCGCAUCCAAAACAAAAGAGACUUAUUUGUCCGGAUUGUAAAUCAGUCACUUGCGCUAGCUGUAGAAGACCGUGGGAGAAACAACAUGAAGGAAUUACGUGUCAAAAAUUCGCCGAAUGGAAAGACGCCAACGAUCCAGAAAACCAGGCUUCCGCUGUCGCAAAGCAUUUAGCUGAAAAUGGUAUAGACUGUCCUCAGUGUAAAUUUAGAUAUUCCUUAGCUAAAGGAGGUUGCAUGCAUUUCACCUGUAUCCAGUGCAAACACGAGUUCUGUUACGGUUGCGGCAAACCGUUUAUGAUGGGCGCCAAAUGUAGUGUGAGUCAGUAUUGUUCAAAGUUAGGAUUGCACGCUCAUCAUCCUCGAAACUGCUUAUUUUAUUUGAGAGACAAAGAGAUUCAUGAGUUGCAAAAAUUAUUGAAAGACCAUAAAAUCAAGUUUGACACAGAGCUGCCAACAGAGAAGGAAGAAAAUGCAAGCGCAAUCGUAAGAUGUCCUGUUUCUCUACAGAAGGAAACACCAACCGGUUUAUUGGAUACUGUUUGUAAUAAUGAUGUGAAUCCGGGGCAAGCUGGCUUAUGCAGAAUGCAUUACAUAGAGUACCUAAGCCUGUUGAUUUGUAAAAAUAAAAUCGAGACCAUCGAGAUCCUUCAAGAAGACGAUCUAGAAACGAUAGUGCGUAGGGCGAACAAACGGUUGCCCCCGAACGCUUACGGUACCCCAAAGUCCAUGUACCAUUUUAGACUGAAACAGGCAACACUACAUCGAGUACUUAGUGGGACUGAUAUUCAGGCACAAGUUGGAUCCCGUAUCGAUCUUGGAUUUGGUUGAGGUUAGCCAAGAGUUGAGGAGACGUGGACACGAGUUACCCGAGAGGGGACCGUGGUGCGACGACAACCAAUAUAGAGAAAUGUGCGCUAAGAUCGUCAUGGAGCAAGUGCCUCUUGAAUGAAACUGAAACAAACAGAAGAUUUUGGAUAAUGUAAGCCCUCACUUCACUCAUUCUAGACGAAGAAUUAGGCAGAUGUCUAUCUGACAUGUUAAAAACCAGAUAAAUCAUAAAUAAAUAUUUUGAUGCUUUACGACUCGGUUUUCCCUAUCUAGACGAUAUUGUUUGUUACCCUCUUACAUUAUUAUUUUAUUAGACGAUAUUUUGUAACGCACGUUUUAAAACAUUGUUUACCUUUAGAUGCCUAGACUUUAUGAUUGUUUAAUAAAGGAUUCUCCAAUAA